Molecule: ribosomal RNA, 468 nt
Filed under: uncultured bacterium
Lineage: Bacteria
Description: partial 16S ribosomal RNA
Rfam family: Bacterial small subunit ribosomal RNA
Source: RNAcentral
GACGAACGCUGGCGGCGUGCUUAACACAUGCAAGUCGAACGGAAAGGCCCUGCUUUUGUGGGGUGCUCGAGUGGCGAACGGGUGAGUAACACGUGAGUAACCUGCCCUUGACUUUGGGAUAACUUCAGGAAACUGGGGCUAAUACCGGAUAGGAGCUCCUGCUGCAUGGUGGGGGUUGGAAAGUUUCGGCGGUUGGGGAUGUACUCGCGGGUUAUCAGCUGGUUGGUGGGGUAGUGGCGUACCACGGCUUUGACGGGUAGCCGGCCUGAGAGGGUGACCGGCCACAUUGGGACUGCGGUACGCCCCAGACUCCUACGGGCGGCAGCAGGGGGGAAUCUUGCACAAUGGGCGGAAGCCUGAUGCAGCAGCGCCGCGUGCGGGAUGCCGGCCUUCGGGUUGUAAACCGCUUUCGCCUGUGACGAAGCGUGAGUGACGGUAAUGGGUAAAAAAGCACCGGCUAACUACGUG